GGAGGGCUCGCCUAGUGGCCGAUGGCGGCGGUCUUGAAAACCGCUACAGGGUGACCUGUCGAGGGUUCGAAUCCCUCGCCCUCCGCAA
Molecule: transfer RNA, 88 nt
Filed under: uncultured Mycobacteriales bacterium
Lineage: Bacteria; Bacillati; Actinomycetota; Actinomycetes; Mycobacteriales
Description: uncultured Corynebacteriales bacterium tRNA-Ser-TGA
Rfam family: tRNA
About the family: Transfer RNA (tRNA) molecules are approximately 80 nucleotides in length. Their secondary structure includes four short double-helical elements and three loops (D, anti-codon, and T loops).
Source: RNAcentral